ACUCCUACGGGAGGCAGCAGUGGGGAAUAUUGCACAAUGGGGGAAACCCUGAUGCAGCCAUGCCGCGUGUGUGAAGAAGGCCUUCGGGUUGUAAAGCACUUUCAGUAGGGAGGAAGGUAGUGUAGUUAACACCUGCAUUAUUUGACGUUACCUACAGAAGAAGCACCGGCUAACUCCGUGCCAGCAGCCGCGGUAAUACGGAGGGUGCGAGCGUUAAUCGGAAUUACUGGGCGUAAAGCGCAUGCAGGCGGCCUGUUAAGUCAGAUGUGAAAGCCCGGGGCUUAACCUCGGAAUUGCAUUUGAAACUGGCAGACUAGAGUACUGUAGAGGGGGGUAGAAUUUCAGGUGUAGCGGUGAAAUGCGUAGAGAUCUGAAGGAAUACCGGUGGCGAAGGCGGCCCCCUGGACAGAUACUGACACUCAGAUGCGAAAGCGUGGGGAGCAAACAGGAUUAGAUACCCGUGGUAGGAUAGCG
Molecule: ribosomal RNA, 474 nt
Filed under: uncultured bacterium
Lineage: Bacteria
Description: bacterial SSU rRNA
Rfam family: Bacterial small subunit ribosomal RNA
Source: RNAcentral